This 176-nucleotide non-coding RNA is filed under the name Clostridium felsineum. RNAcentral describes it as "Clostridium roseum Lysine sequence". It matches the Rfam family "Lysine riboswitch aptamer". From Rfam's summary of the family: Riboswitches are metabolite binding domains within certain messenger RNAs that serve as precision sensors for their corresponding targets. Allosteric rearrangement of mRNA structure is mediated by ligand binding, and this results in modulation of gene expression. Lineage: Bacteria; Bacillati; Bacillota; Clostridia; Eubacteriales; Clostridiaceae. The record is from RNAcentral.
AACUGAGGUAGAGGCGCAGGCUUUAAAAGUAAAAUUGUUGAGGUAAGCACAAUGAAGCAGUUUGAAAGGAAAGGUUGCCGAAGCAUAUGAUUAACGCUUUAAAAUCAUAUUGCUGGGUUUGUAUAAAAUAUAUACAAAACUGUCACAAAUGGAAAUUGUGGAGAACUAUCAUUUUU